RNAcentral lists this ribosomal RNA (892 nucleotides) under Leucobacter aridicollis. Its description in RNAcentral is "bacterial SSU rRNA". It matches the Rfam family "Bacterial small subunit ribosomal RNA", at positions 59 to 961 of the family's 1533-position model. The record is from RNAcentral. Lineage: Bacteria; Bacillati; Actinomycetota; Actinomycetes; Micrococcales; Microbacteriaceae.
CAGUCGAACGAUGAAGCCCAGCUUGCUGGGUGGAAGAGUGGCGAACGGGUGAGUAACACGUGAGUAACCUGCCCUGAACUCUGGGAUAAGCACUGGAAACGGUGUCUAAUACUGGAUACGACCUAUCACCGCAUGGUGUGUAGGUGGAAAGAUUUAUCGGUUCUGGAUGGACUCGCGGCCUAUCAGCUAGAUGGUGAGGUAAUGGCUCACCAUGGCGACGACGGGUAGCCGGCCUGAGAGGGUGACCGGCCACACUGGGACUGAGACACGGCCCAGACUCCUACGGGAGGCAGCAGUGGGGAAUAUUGCACAAUGGGCGCAAGCCUGAUGCAGCAACGCCGCGUGAGGGAUGACGGCCUUCGGGUUGUAAACCUCUUUUAGUAGGGAAGAAGCGAAAGUGACGGUACCUGCAGAAAAAGCACCGGCUAACUACGUGCCAGCAGCCGCGGUAAUACGUAGGGUGCAAGCGUUGUCCGGAAUUAUUGGGCGUAAAGAGCUCGUAGGCGGCUUGUCGCGUCUGCUGUGAAAUCCCGGGGCUCAACCCCGGGCCUGCAGUGGGUACGGGCAAGCUAGAGUGCGGUAGGGGAGAUUGGAAUUCCUGGUGUAGCGGUGGAAUGCGCAGAUAUCAGGAGGAACACCGAUGGCGAAGGCAGAUCUCUGGGCCGCUACUGACGCUGAGGAGCGAAAGCAUGGGGAGCGAACAGGAUUAGAUACCCUGGUAGUCCAUGCCGUAAACGUUGGGAACUAGAUGUAGGGCCUGUUCCACGGGUUCUGUGUCGUAGCUAACGCAUUAAGUUCCCCGCCUGGGGAGUACGGCCGCAAGGCUAAAACUCAAAGGAAUUGACGGGGGCCCGCACAAGCGGCGGAGCAUGCGGAUUAAUUCGAUGCAACG